AACUGAUACUACCUGCGGGAACCUGCGGAAGGAUCAUUACCGAGUUUACAACUCCCAAACCCAAUGUGAACGUUACCAAACUGUUGCCUCGGCGGGAUCUCUGCCCCGGGUGCGUCGCAGCCCCGGACCAAGGCGCCCGCCGGAGGACCAACCAAAACUCUUUUGUAUACCCCCUCGCGGGUUUUUUAUAUCUGAGCCAUCUCGGCGCCUCUCGUAGGCGUUUCGAAAAUGAAUCAAAAC
This 240-nucleotide unclassified non-coding RNA is filed under the name soil metagenome. RNAcentral describes it as "partial contains 5.8S ribosomal RNA, internal transcribed spacer 2, and large subunit ribosomal RNA". The record is from RNAcentral.